RNAcentral lists this ribosomal RNA (724 nucleotides) under uncultured Lachnospiraceae bacterium. RNAcentral describes it as "bacterial SSU rRNA". It matches the Rfam family "Bacterial small subunit ribosomal RNA", at positions 31 to 752 of the family's 1533-position model. Lineage: Bacteria; Bacillati; Bacillota; Clostridia; Lachnospirales; Lachnospiraceae. The record is from RNAcentral.
GAACGCUGGCGGCGCGCCUAACACAUGCAAGUCGAACGGAGCUGUUUUCUCUGAAGUUUUCGGAUGGAAGAGAGUUCAGCUUAGUGGCGAACGGGUGAGUAACACGUGAGCAACCUGCCUUUCAGUGGGGGACAACAUUUGGAAACGAAUGCUAAUACCGCAUAAGACCACAGUGUCGCAUGGCACAGGGGUCAAAGGAUUUAUCCGCUGAAAGAUGGGCUCGCGUCCGAUUAGCUAGAUGGUGAGGUAACGGCCCACCAUGGCGACGAUCGGUAGCCGGACUGAGAGGUUGAACGGCCACAUUGGGACUGAGACACGGCCCAGACUCCUACGGGAGGCAGCAGUGGGGAAUAUUGCACAAUGGGGGAAACCCUGAUGCAGCGACGCCGCGUGGAGGAAGAAGGUCUUCGGAUUGUAAACUCCUGUCCCAGGGGACGAUAAUGACGGUACCCUGGGAGGAAGCACCGGCUAACUACGUGCCAGCAGCCGCGGUAAAACGUAGGGUGCAAGCGUUGUCCGGAAUUACUGGGUGUAAAGGGAGCGCAGGCGGAUUGGCAAGUUGGGAGUGAAAUCUAUGGGCUCAACCCAUAAAUUGCUUUCAAAACUGUCAGUCUUGAGUGGUGUAGAGGUAGGCGGAAUUCCCGGUGUAGCGGUGGAAUGCGUAGAUAUCGGGAGGAACACCAGUGGCGAAGGCGGCCUACUGGGCACUAACUGACGCUGAGGC